GAUGAACGCUGGCGGCGUGCCUAAUACAUGCAAGUCGAGCGGUAAGGCCCUUCGGGGUACACGAGCGGCGGACGGCUGAGUAACACGUAGGAACCUACCCCAAACUGAGGGAUAAGCACCAGAAAUGGUGUCUAAUACCGCAUGUGCUCUACGGAGUGAAGCUUCGGCGGUUUGGGAAGGGCCUGCGUCCGAUUAGCUAGUUGGUGGUAUAAAAGACUACCAAGGCGACGAUCGGUAGCUGGUCUGAGAGGAUGAUCAGCCAGACUGGGACUGAGACACGGCCCAGACUCCUACGGGAGGCAGCAGUAGGGAAUUUUCCACAAUGGGCGAAAGCCUGAUGGGGCAACGCCGCGUGCAGGAUGAAUGCCUUCGGGUUGUAAACUGCUUUUAUCUGUGACGAAUAUGACGGUAGCAGAUGAAUAAGGACCUGCUAACUACGUGCCAGCCGCCGCAGUAA
RNAcentral lists this ribosomal RNA (457 nucleotides) under uncultured bacterium. RNAcentral's name for it is "partial 16S ribosomal RNA". It matches the Rfam family "Bacterial small subunit ribosomal RNA", at positions 28 to 523 of the family's 1533-position model. The record is from RNAcentral.